GAGCCGCAGGGAAACCGAGUCUUAAUUGGGCGUUAAGUUGCAGGGUAUAGACCCGAAACCCGGUGAUCUAGCCAUGGGCAGGUUGAAGGUUGGGUAACACUAACUGGAGGACCGAACCGACUAAUGUUGAAAAAUUAGCGGAUGACCUGUGGCUGGGGGUGAAAGGCCAAUCAAACCGGGAGAUAGCUGGUUCUCCCCGAAAGCUAUUUAGGUAGCGCCUCGUGAAUUCAUCUCCGGGGGUAGAGCACUGUUUCGGCUAGGGGGCCAUCCCGGCUUACCAACCCGAUGCAAACUGCGAAUACCGGAGAAUGUUAUCACGGGAGACACACGGCGGGUGCUAACGUCCGUCGUGAAGAGGGAAACAACCCAGACCGCCAGCUAAGGUCCCAAAGUCAUGGUUAAGUGGGAAACGAUGUGGGAAGGCCCAGACAGCCAGGAUGUUGGCUUAGAAGCAGCCAUCAUUUAAAGAAAGCGUAAUAGCUCACUGGUCGAGUCGGCCUGCGCGGAAGAUGUAACGGGGCUAAACCAUGCACCGAAGCUGCGGCAGCGAACGUAUCACUUAAAGCGAUUCAGCGGGUUACGAUUGACGGAGCGAAGCGACGUCAAAGCGUAUACAAAGUCGAGUCGGUUUAAGGAUACGUU
Molecule: ribosomal RNA, 642 nt
Filed under: Salmonella enterica subsp. enterica serovar Durham
Lineage: Bacteria; Pseudomonadati; Pseudomonadota; Gammaproteobacteria; Enterobacterales; Enterobacteriaceae
Description: partial 23S ribosomal RNA
Rfam family: Bacterial large subunit ribosomal RNA
Source: RNAcentral